This 253-nucleotide ribosomal RNA is filed under the name uncultured prokaryote. RNAcentral describes it as "partial 16S ribosomal RNA". It matches the Rfam family "Bacterial small subunit ribosomal RNA", at positions 525 to 777 of the family's 1533-position model. The record is from RNAcentral.
ACGGAGGGGGCUAGCGUUGUUCGGAAUUACUGGGCGUAAAGCGCACGUAGGCGGCUUUGCAAGUUAGAGGUGAAAGCCCGGGGCUCAACUCCGGAAUUGCCUUUGAAACUAGAUAGCUAGAAUCUUGGAGAGGUCAGUGGAAUUCCGAGUGUAGAGGUGAAAUUCGUAGAUAUUCGGAAGAACACCAGUGGCGAAGGCGACUGACUGGACAAGUAUUGACGCUGAGGUACGAAAGCGUGGGGAGCAAACAGGA